AAAUGAAUUGACGGGGGCCCGCACAAGCAGUGGAGCAUGUGGUUUAAUUCGAUGCAACGCGAAGAACCUUACCCAGGCUCGAAAUGUAAUAGACGUAACCAGAGAUGGUUAUUUCCGCAAGGACUGUUAUAUAGGUGCUGCAUGGCUGUCGUCAGCUCGUGCCGUGAGGUGUUUGGUUAAGUCCAGCAACGAGCGCAACCCUUAUCAUUAGUUGCCAACGCGUUAAGGCGGGGACUCUAGUGAGACUGCCUGGGUUAACCAGGAGGAAGGUGAGGAUGACGUCAAGUCCGCAUGGCCUUUAUGUCUGGGGCUACACACGUGCUACAAUGGUCGGUACAGAAGGCAGCAAGACCGCAAGGUGGAGCAAAUCCGUAAAGCCGAUCACAGUUCAGAUUGUAGUCUGCAACUCGACUACAUGAAGUUGGAAUUGCUAGUAAUGACGUGUCAGCUACAACGUCGUGAAUACGUUCCCGGGCCUUGUACACACCGCCCGU
Molecule: ribosomal RNA, 494 nt
Filed under: uncultured bacterium
Lineage: Bacteria
Description: bacterial SSU rRNA
Rfam family: Bacterial small subunit ribosomal RNA
Source: RNAcentral